This 128-nucleotide ribosomal RNA is filed under the name uncultured eukaryote. RNAcentral describes it as "partial small subunit ribosomal RNA". It matches the Rfam family "Eukaryotic small subunit ribosomal RNA", at positions 1651 to 1776 of the family's 1831-position model. The record is from RNAcentral.
CCCUGCCUUUUGUACACACCGCCCGUCGCUACUACCGAUUGAAUGGCUUAGUGAGGCUUUCGGACCGGCCUGUGGAGGUUGGUAACGACCACCGUGGGCUGGAAAGUUAGUCAAACUUGGUCAUUUAG